AUUGAACGCUGGCGGCAUGCUUUACACAUGCAAGUCGAACGGUAACAGGCCGCAAGGUGCUGACGAGUGGCGCACGGGUGAGUAAUGCAUCGGAACGUGCCCAGUCGUGGGGGAUAACUACUCGAAAGAGUAGCUAAUACCGCAUACGAUCUAUGGAUGAAAGCGGGGGACCGUAAGGCCUCGCGCGAUUGGAGCGGCCGAUGUCAGAUUAGGUAGUUGGUGGGGUAAAGGCUCACCAAGCCAACGAUCUGUAGCUGGUCUGAGAGGACAACCAGCCACACUGGGACUGGGACACGGCCCAGACUCCUACGGGAGGAAGCAGUGGGGAAUGUUGGACAAUGGGCGCAAGCCUGAUCCAGCAAUGCCGCGUGCAGGAAGAAGGCCUUCGGGUUGUAAACUGCUUUUGUACGGAACGAAACGGCUCUGGUUAAUACCCGGGGCUAAUGACGGUACCGUAAGAAUAAGCACCGGCUAACUACGUG
This 482-nucleotide ribosomal RNA is filed under the name uncultured bacterium. RNAcentral describes it as "partial 16S ribosomal RNA". It matches the Rfam family "Bacterial small subunit ribosomal RNA", at positions 30 to 507 of the family's 1533-position model. The record is from RNAcentral.